GGUCGGUUAGCUCAGUUGGUUAGAGCGUCGUGCGUUGCCCUCGACAUUCCUUUGCUGAAUUGACAAUGAAGACUAACAUGCCACAGGUACUAAUAAUGCGAAGGUCAUGGGUUCGACCCCCAUACUGACCA
This 131-nucleotide transfer RNA is filed under the name Nemania abortiva. RNAcentral describes it as "tRNA-OTHER". It matches the Rfam family "tRNA". Rfam says of the family: Transfer RNA (tRNA) molecules are approximately 80 nucleotides in length. Their secondary structure includes four short double-helical elements and three loops (D, anti-codon, and T loops). Further hydrogen bonds mediate the characteristic L-shaped molecular structure. tRNAs have two regions of fundamental functional importance: the anti-codon, which is responsible for specific mRNA codon recognition, and the 3' end, to which the tRNAs corresponding amino acid is attached (by aminoacyl-tRNA synthetases). tRNAs cope with the degeneracy of the genetic code in two manners: having more than one tRNA (with a specific anti-codon) for a particular amino acid; and 'wobble' base-pairing, i.e. permitting non-standard base-pairing at the 3rd anti-codon position. The record is from RNAcentral. Lineage: Eukaryota; Fungi; Ascomycota; Sordariomycetes; Xylariales; Xylariaceae.